CCUACGGGAGGCAGCAGUGGGGAAUAUUGGACAAUGGGCGGAAGCCUGACCCAGCAACGCCGCGUGAAGGAAGAAGGCUUUCGGGUUGUAAAGUUCUUUUCUCAGGGACGAAACAAGUGACGGUACCUGAGGAAUAAGCCACGGCUAACUACGUGCCAGCAGCCGCGGUAAUACGUAGGGGGCAAGCGUUAUCCGGAAUUACUGGGUGUAAAGGGCGCGUAGACGGGGAAGUAAGUCCGGUGUGAAAAACAUGGGCUCAACC
This 262-nucleotide ribosomal RNA is filed under the name uncultured bacterium. RNAcentral's name for it is "partial 16S ribosomal RNA". It matches the Rfam family "Bacterial small subunit ribosomal RNA", at positions 338 to 614 of the family's 1533-position model. The record is from RNAcentral.